RNAcentral lists this ribosomal RNA (253 nucleotides) under uncultured bacterium. Its description in RNAcentral is "partial 16S ribosomal RNA". It matches the Rfam family "Bacterial small subunit ribosomal RNA", at positions 524 to 776 of the family's 1533-position model. The record is from RNAcentral.
UACGGAAGGUGCUAGCGUUGUUCGGAAUCACUGGGCGUAAAGCGCGCGUAGGCGGCUUUGUAAGUUAGAGGUGAAAGCCCGGGGCUCAACCCCGGAAUUGCCUUUAAGACUGCAUCGCUUGAAUCCGGGAGAGGUGAGUGGAAUUCCGAGUGUAGAGGUGAAAUUCGUAGAUAUUCGGAAGAACACCAGUGGCGAAGGCGGCUCACUGGACCGGCAUUGACGCUGAGGUGCGAAAGCGUGGGGAGCAAACAGG